AGAUGUUGGCUGCAAGAUAGCCCAUGCACUCAAACCCCCCUCUAUCUGGUCCUUUAUCACCUGUUUGCCUCAAGUCUGAACAUUCAACCCUGCUCAAGGCUGAACACUUAACCCCCCCUUGGGCCAACAAGGCAGCUUGCAGACCCAGAGGCCCCAUUAGAUUUGGGCUAUAAAAACUCCCUCCUGCCAGGCCCCCCUCUCUCUUGCUCUCUCUCUCUUUCUCUCUCUCUCUCUCUCUCUCUCUCUCUCUCUCUCUCUCUCUCUUGCUCCCUCUCUCUUGCUAUCUCUCUUGCUUUCUCUCUCUCCUGCAUGCGCUUCCCCCCCCCUUCUUUCUUUUCUCUUUGUUGCACUGCUGCAAUAAAGAUCUUUUGGUUGCUUGAGUGUUGUGGUCACUUUCCUUUCAUUGGUACCGAAACCCGGGAGAGGGUUAAAACCCACUUUUGGGUCCCUCUUCCUUUGGAAGUGCCACUCACCGGAUGGCCUGAACCCAGGCCUGAACCCAUUUUCUCGACUGCCAGAACUCCAUCCACCACCAGCCUUCGAUUGUUUUUAUCUCAAACCACAGAUGCUGCUUCUACAUCCAAGCAACAUGACACCAGGAUGACACCACCCACUCUCAGUUUAUGGGUCAAGGCGAUUGCCCUUCCACUGGCUGCAAUCAGGCUGUCACCCUUAACAUUACUGGAUUCAACCAAGCCACCUCCAAUACUUCCUAGAGUCCCUGCUACAGGACCAGUGGCUGAUACCAAGAAUCUCCUCCAUCCAGGACUGGUUUGAUGCCAUCGAGGACUUGUGGCUUCAAGGAAUUUUUAUGGACUUUACCCCUACCACAGUAGUUGUCUGUAGCCACUGAGUGUUAUUUCUGGCUGCCCUGGUGUUCCCAGACCUGUCCCCUGAACAUUCCUCCACUUCCCCUUCUAGGUCUAACACCACCCACCAUUAAGCAGGAAGUAGCCAGAGGACUUUAUGCCGUCCCCCAUGUCACUUAGAAAAACAAAAAGGGAGGAAUGUUGGGUGCAGAGCAGGCUGAACUGUGUUGUCUGCAGGGCAGGCUGAACAGAUGUUGGCUGCAAGAUAGCCCACGCACUCAAACCCCCCUCUAUCUGGUCCUUUAUCACCUGAUUGCCUCAAGUCUGAACAUUCAACCCUGCUCAAGGCUGAACACUUAACCCCCCCUUGGGCCAACAAGGCAGCUUGCAGACCCAGAGGCCCCAUUAGAUUUGGGCUAUAAAAACUCCCUCCUGCCAGGCCCCCCUCUCUCUUGCUCUCUCUCUCUCUUGCUCCCUCUCUCUUGCUAUCUCUCUUGCUUUCUCUGUCUCUCUCCUGCGUGUGCUUCCUCUCUCUCUCUCUCUCUCUCCUUCUUUCUUUUCUCUUUGUUGCACUGCUGCAAUAAAGAUCUUUUGGUUGCUUGA
Molecule: long non-coding RNA, 1412 nt
Organism: Marmota monax (woodchuck)
Lineage: Eukaryota; Metazoa; Chordata; Mammalia; Rodentia; Sciuridae
Exons: 2
Source: RefSeq, a predicted model, not a curated record